CUUCGGGUUAGUGGCGGACGGGUGAGUAACGCGUGGGAAUCUGCCCUCAGGAGGGGGAUAACGGCUGGAAACGGCCGCUAAUACCCCAUAUGCCGAGAGGUGAAAUGAAUUUCGCCUGAGGAUGAGCCCGCGUCUGAUUAGCUAGUUGGUGAGGUAAGAGCUCACCAAGGCAUCGAUCAGUAGCUGGUCUGAGAGGAUGAUCAGCCACACUGGGACUGAGACACGGCCCAGACUCCUACGGGAGGCAGCAGUGGGGAAUUUUCCGCAAUGGGCGAAAGCCUGACGGAGCAACGCCGCGUGAGGGAUGAAGGCCUCUGGGCUGUAAACCUCUUUUCUCAAGGAAGAAGAUCUGACGGUACUUGAGGAAUAAGCCACGGCUAAUUCCGUGCCAGCAGCCGCGGUAAUACGGGAGUGGCAAGCGUUAUCCGGAAUUAUUGGGCGUAAAGCGUCCGC
This 453-nucleotide ribosomal RNA is filed under the name uncultured cyanobacterium. RNAcentral describes it as "bacterial SSU rRNA". It matches the Rfam family "Bacterial small subunit ribosomal RNA", at positions 85 to 572 of the family's 1533-position model. The record is from RNAcentral. Lineage: Bacteria; Bacillati; Cyanobacteriota.